This 305-nucleotide ribosomal RNA is filed under the name uncultured bacterium. RNAcentral describes it as "bacterial SSU rRNA". It matches the Rfam family "Bacterial small subunit ribosomal RNA", at positions 335 to 634 of the family's 1533-position model. The record is from RNAcentral.
AUCCUACGGGGGGCAGCAGUGGGGAAUAUUGCGCAAUGGGCGAAAGCCUGACGCAGCGACGCCGCGUGAGGGAUGAAGGUCUUCGGAUCGUAAACCUCUGUCAGCAGGGAAGAACGGUCACUGUGCUAAUCAGCAGUGAAUUGACGGUACCUGCAAAGGAAGCACCGGCUAACUCCGUGCCAGCAGCCGCGGUAAUACGGAGGGUGCGAGCGUUAAUCGGAAUUAUUGGGUUUAAAGGGUGCGUAGGCGGAUUUUUAAGUCAGCGGUAAAAUGUCCGGGCUCAACCCGGGCCGGCCGUUGAAACU